RNAcentral lists this transfer RNA (63 nucleotides) under Aconurella sibirica. RNAcentral's name for it is "tRNA-Ser". Lineage: Eukaryota; Metazoa; Arthropoda; Insecta; Hemiptera; Cicadellidae. The record is from RNAcentral.
AGUUAAUUAGCUUAUAUAAAGCAUAUACUUUGAAAGUAUAAGAAAGAUUCCAUUUAUUAACUU